GCCGGAGUGGUGAAACUGGUAGACGCACGGGACUCAAAAUCCCGCGGGAGCAAUCCCAUGUCGGUUCGAUUCCGACCUUCGGCACCA
RNAcentral lists this transfer RNA (87 nucleotides) under Pseudomonadota bacterium. RNAcentral's name for it is "Proteobacteria bacterium (groundwater metagenome) tRNA-Leu". It matches the Rfam family "tRNA". Rfam says of the family: Transfer RNA (tRNA) molecules are approximately 80 nucleotides in length. Their secondary structure includes four short double-helical elements and three loops (D, anti-codon, and T loops). RNAcentral also lists the same sequence under 3 other names. Lineage: Bacteria; Pseudomonadati; Pseudomonadota. The record is from RNAcentral.